AGGGUUUGAUUCUGGCUCAGGACGAACGCUGGCGGCGUGCCUAACACAUGCAAGUCGAGCGAGGAAGAGGAGAUAGCUUGCUAACUCCUGUUUCUAGCGGCGGACGGGUGAGUAACGCGUGAGCAACCUGCCUUUAUCAGGGGGAUAACGCAUCGAAAGAUGUGCUAAUACCGCGUAAGACCACAGCCUCACAUGGGGCAGGGGUCAAAGGAGCAAUCCGGAUAAAGAUGGGCUCGCGUCCGAUUAGCUAGUUGGUGAGAUAACAGCCCACCAAGGCGACGAUCGGUAGCCGACCUGAGAGGGUGAUCGGCCACAUUGGAACUGAGAUACGGUCCAG
RNAcentral lists this ribosomal RNA (337 nucleotides) under uncultured bacterium. RNAcentral describes it as "bacterial SSU rRNA". It matches the Rfam family "Bacterial small subunit ribosomal RNA", at positions 8 to 334 of the family's 1533-position model. The record is from RNAcentral.